Asterias rubens (European starfish) is the source of this 1550-nucleotide long non-coding RNA. RefSeq lists it as uncharacterized. The transcript is spliced from 2 exons. NCBI's taxonomy places the organism in Eukaryota, Metazoa, Echinodermata, Asteroidea, Forcipulatida, Asteriidae. The record is from RefSeq and is a predicted model, not a curated record.
UUCAUAACAAUGGAGAAAGGUUUGAGUUUGACAGCUGUCAUCAUCCGCGAACUUCUUUUUAGUAUUUGUCUCUUCCAAGAACAUCCAUAAUGCUUCAUCUCUCGGUCCACAGUAGUGGAUCUCUUAUGAGGAUCUUUGGAAUCUAAGUGAAGACGGGAAUGCUGAUAAGAAGAACGACACAACAAUUCUCAGAUCUGAAGAAUAGAAGAUGGGCAACGACAUCUGAUUACUACAUGGACAGUGACAUUUGAUUCCUACAUGGACAGCAAUGUGUGAGUCCUACAUGGACAUCCACAUACUCGUUCAUGUCAGCCACAUCCAAUUCCUACAUGAGCAGCCACAUCUGAUUCCUACAGAGGCAGCAAUGUACGAUUCCUACAUGGACAGCCACAUCUGAUCCAUACACAGCAAUGACUCAUUCCUACAUAGACAUCUGGUUCCUACAUGGACAGCAACAACUGACUUUUACAUGGACAUUAACUUCCCAAUCCUCAUGGACAAAGUGUGUGAUUCCUGCAUAGACAAUUUCGAUCACUGUACAACAUCUGAUUUGUGUGGAUUGUGUAGUAAAGAGAAUCUUUUAGUCAAAGAAAAGAGACUUUGGUUGUCCCUCAAGAAUAAUAACCACACAUUUUUGAUCCAAGAAUUUUGCGUUGAAGACACCAGACAACACCCCCCCCCCCGCCUUGAAAGAUAGUUUUUCCAAAACUUUUCCUUAAGUUUGUGAUGGAUAAUAAUGUGUUUUUUCGCAACAUGAUUUGUUAUCUUUCAAGACAGCAAAGAUUACCUUUGGUUUUUUGAAACGUGUAAUUUCAAUUCAAAAAGGUUGUUUUUUAAAUGUCCCUGGAAAUCCCAAUCCAAUAUGUUUAAAUAUGCAGGGAGAAUAAUCCCUAAUAAAAUACACUAUCUCGGAAGCAUUACUGCAGUAACGCUUCUCAGAUUCAAACUUUUGGGGGAAAAAAAGCUGAAACGAAAUGUUUCUCAAAAUGCUUUUACAAAUCUACGAAAGUUUCUAAAGGCUUGUAACCUAUUGUUUUUAUUGACAAUACAUUUUAGAGUGACUACAAAAUGAAUUCUUCUCAUUUAAAUAAUGUUCUAAUUUAGUUAUCCUUUUUUAACAUUAAAUAAUUAAAAGGCACUUUUAAUGACUUUGAAAUGAUAACGUUCAAACUUAAGAAUUAUAUAAUUAUUCAGAAUCCCUACUAGGUUAACAUUUUUCCACGUCAGAGUGUUAGUAGUUAUUUGAUGUCAAUAAUUCACUGGUAAAAAGCUGAUUAUAGAUAUUCUAGAUUUAAUUAAGAAUCAACGAUUAACAUAAACUUAUCUUAUAGCAUUGAAACUUUAUUGUAAUUCUGCGCUAUAUUAAAAAUGUUCAUUGUUAUUACCGUAAUAAAUAAAAAUGAUACACUAUUAAUUAAUCUAAACCUGUUUUUGUCUGAUUGUCACUAUUUUGUUGCCAAACCUGUAUUUAUUUGUAUAAAAAGAUUUAUUUGACUUCAUAAAACGAAACAAACAUGUGCAAACCGUGCAAUCUUAGUGUAUUCACAUUU